CCUACGGGGGGCAGCAGUGAGGAAUAUUGGUCAAUGGACGAGAGUCUGAACCAGCCAAGUAGCGUGAAGGAUGACUGCCCUAUGGGUUGUAAACUUCUUUUAUAUGGGAAUAAAAUGUUCCACGUGUGGGAUUUUGUAUGUACCAUAUGAAUAAGGAUCGGCUAACUCCGUGCCAGCAGCCGCGGUAAUACGGAGGAUCCGAGCGUUAUCCGGAUUUAUUGGGUUUAAAGGGAGCGUAGGUGGAUUGUUAAGUCAGUUGUGAAAGUUUGCGGCUCAACCGUAAAAUUGCAGUUGAAACUGGCAGUCUUGAGUACAGUAGAGGUGGGCGGAAUUCGUGGUGUAGCGGUGAAAUGCUUAGAUAUCACGAAGAACUCCGAUUGCGAAGGCAGUUCACUGGACUGCAACUGACACUGAGGCUCGAAAGUGUGGGUAUCAAACAGGAUUAGAUACCCCAGAAGUC
This 460-nucleotide ribosomal RNA is filed under the name uncultured bacterium. Its description in RNAcentral is "partial 16S ribosomal RNA". It matches the Rfam family "Bacterial small subunit ribosomal RNA", at positions 338 to 795 of the family's 1533-position model. The record is from RNAcentral.